RNAcentral lists this ribosomal RNA (492 nucleotides) under uncultured bacterium. RNAcentral describes it as "partial 16S ribosomal RNA". It matches the Rfam family "Bacterial small subunit ribosomal RNA", at positions 29 to 507 of the family's 1533-position model. The record is from RNAcentral.
AGUGAACGCUGGCGGUAGGCCUAACACAUGCAAGUCGAACGGCAGCACAGUAAGAGCUUGCUCUUACGGGUGGCGAGUGGCGGACGGGUGAGGAAUACAUCGGAAUCUACUUUUUCGUGGGUGAUAACGUAGGGAAAGUUACGCUAAUACAGCAUACGACCUACGGAUGACAGCAGGGGAUCUUCGGACCUUGCGCGAGUGAAUGAGCCGAUGUCGGAUUAUCUAGUUGGCGGGGUAAAGGCGUACCAAGGCGAAGAUCCGUAGCUCGUCUGAGAGGAAGAUCAGCUACACUGGCACUGAGACACGGUCGAGACUCCUACGGUAGGCAGCAGUGCGGAAUAUUGGACAAUGGGCGCAAGCCUGAUCCAGCCAUACCGCGUGGGUGAAGAAGGCCUUCGGGUUGGAAAGCCCUUUUGUUGGGAAAGAAAAGCAGCUGUUUAAUACCCCGCUGUUCUGACGGUACCCAAAGAAGAAGCCCCGGCUAACUUCGUG